Molecule: ribosomal RNA, 324 nt
Filed under: Euglypha sp. (in: cercozoans)
Lineage: Eukaryota; Cercozoa; Imbricatea; Euglyphida; Euglyphidae
Description: SSU rRNA
Rfam family: Eukaryotic small subunit ribosomal RNA (bases 62-324)
Source: RNAcentral
GAUUUCUGACGGACCGGAGUGGCCCGUUCUCUUUCAGGGAAUGAGUGCCGCUUUGAGUUUGUCAUCCUUCUAGAAAGCUGCGUCUACCGUUUAUUCGGCCGGAUGUAUGCGAUCUAGAUCUAUUACUUUGAAAAAAUUAGAGUGUUUAAAGCAGGCUUAUGCUAUGAAUACAUUAGCAUGGAAUAAUAAUUUAGGACUUGGGUUCUAUUUUGUUGGUUUCUAGGACUGAAGUAAUGAUUGAUAGGGAUAGUUGGGGGUGCUAGUAUUCCGCGGCCAGAGGUGAAAUUCUUGGAUUUGUGGAAGACUAACUACUGCGAAAGCAUU